This is a long non-coding RNA of Talpa occidentalis (Iberian mole), 4451 nucleotides long. RefSeq lists it as uncharacterized. Lineage: Eukaryota; Metazoa; Chordata; Mammalia; Eulipotyphla; Talpidae. The record is from RefSeq and is a predicted model, not a curated record. The transcript has 5 exons.
UGCCGUUACCGCCGGCCGCCGCGGUCAGAGCGCGUCUGCGAGCCGCCGCGCCACUCGCCCCUCGGAUGACAGGAGGUUUUCUGGGGGAAAAGGCACCUCUACCACCAGCACAAGAAUACCAUGUACAGCAGCUUCAGCUAGAGAUUCAAAGAACAUUUGAGCCCCGGUUAUAAUGUGGACAUUAGGAGCUCCAGCCCUCUCAGCCACAGACUACAAAUAAGGAACUUGCUGAAAGAAGACCCUAAGGGUGACUCAAGCAGUCUACAGGGAAGCUCUGAAGGUACCUGAGGUGGGAGAUAACCUCAGAAUGUCCCAGAACCUGGGACCAGCAUGUCCAAUACCAGGGAACUGAACAGGUAGAAGGGUGAGCAGCUGCCCUGUCCAAGAGAAGAGCUUCCAGUAGAAGAAAGAGAAGCUGUGAAAGUGACAAGUGACCAAACCUCCAGGCCAGACGUAAAGCUCUGUGAAGAAGAAUCACGUCUUGCCCUUCGUAGUCUCCACACACAUUUAAUACUGAGAAACUUGAGGCCAUUUGUGGAUGGAUGACAGCAGGCAACUGUGGACACUGCAGUUGAAGAGGACAGAUGUGUGGUUCCGGGCAGUCGCGGAUGGAGAUGCAUGCACCCUUAACUGAAGACGUAGCUGCCUUCUCUGGGAUGACUGUCACUUGGAAGAAGCAAGAAUGAAGAGGCCUGUCCCUUUUUCCUGCUUUCAACAUGGAUGUUUAAAGACAUGAUCCUUGGAGCUGUAGCAGCCACGUUGAGACCAUAAAGCAACAAAACUAAGGGGGAAAGUCAGAACACCAAAGAGACAGACAAAAAGAGCCUGGGUCCUUGAUGAUAUAGUUGAGCCACUAUACCUAUCCUGGAACCAUUUACUUCCAGUUUUAUUGACACAGAAAUUAAAUGUCUUUAUUUUCAAAGCAGAUUUCUGCUACUUGCAGCCAAAGGCAUUCUUAACCAGUAUAGCACUGCUCUGAACCUCUCUAUCACCAAUUCUCUAGAGCCCCUGGCUCUUGGUACAGCACCAAAUGGGAAAUCAACCCAAGUUUAGACAUUGGAAAUCUUGCUUUUGUGGUAGGAAAUAAAAGCCGAGAUUGUCACUGCUACAGAGCAAUUUUAGCACUUAAUCCCAACUCCUGGGUCUACAGGCCAUCAAAGGAUGAGAGAAAAGAUUCAGGGACAUUCCAAAUGUAUGAGCACUGAACUUCUAAAAUGGAGUUCAGUGGUGCUGUUCAGGAAACAGUUCUUUGUGGUGAAGUGGGGGGAGGUCGAAUGUUGGAGAUGCAGAGCUGAUGCACAGGCUAGAAAGCUGUGAAGGCAGGCGGAAGGAGCAGCAGGGGAGGUGUCCACAGUAGGGUUUCAGAAGGCCCAUGGACAAGCUGGAAGAAACUUAGGACAGCCAGAACUAAACUGGUAGAAAACUAGACCCUCUAGUUACUGUGCAGCCAGCAGCAGUGAUAGUGCAGAUCCUUGUAGGAGUCAGGCACCCUGAUGUGCCAUCCUGGCUUUGGGCACUCUGCUUUCUUCAUUUUUUGUCUCUUCACUUCUCCCCAUUUUCUCCCUGGCUUCCUUAAGCAAAGCCAGGAGCCAGAAAGGCACAAGGCCUGAAACAGUUGAGAGUGAAUAUAGUCAGAGGAUGACUUCCAGAAGACUUCCAGUGCCAGUCUGGGGACAAAGGGCUAGACCUGGAGGAGAGAAGCAGACAGUGGACGAGGAUGGGCCCAAGCUUUCUUCAAGCAACGUGGUUUGUGUUUCUCCAACACAAGAAAACAUGACUGAUGCUUCCUGGCCUUAUGAAAUGAGUUGAAGUCAAUAACUCCAGUCCUUCCCCUUUACAUUUCUAGUUUUAAUUAUAAAACAGGUAAACUAGCAUCUCCUAAUGUAUCCUAAAAAUACAAAGUAAUCAAUUACAUUCAAAACUUGAGGAAAGCCACCUACCCAUAUCCCAUGAAUGGGGUCCACCCACAGGCUGCAAUGAUUUUAGAAAUUGCAGCUACCAGAUUCUGCCCCUUAGGCCAUAGCCCCUUUCAAUGUGUCCUUAUGCACUCUACAUAUUUCAUGGAGUCUUUCACCAAAGGCCCAAACCAGGCCAACUAAUGUUUGCCUACAGUAUUACUUUAUUCAGCAGAAAUUUACUGAAUACCUAAAAAAAUUAAUAAUAAAUCCUAUGAGAUGAAAGAAUGAAAACUUUGGGGUAGAAAAGCAAAAAGUUUAAGCCCCUACUUUGAUGUGAUUAAUACUUGAAUGUGAUACUUAAUAAACCCUGAAUUCCACCACCCCCCCAAAGUUUCCCCAUAUAUCACUAAGGAUUCUCUGAAAUCCAAUAAGGAAAAGAAUAAAGGCUUUUCCUCAUUCUCAUAAUCAAGGUUUUUUUCUCCAGUAUGAAUGAGCCUGAUUACUGACUAAAAGCUCUCCCACCAUCUUUACAAUGCGUGUUUCUUUCCUGUGAAUUCUCCAGUGAUGAGAAAGGGCGAAGCUAUCCCCAAAUGAUUUUCCCCAUUGAUUAUACUCAUAGGCUUCUCUCUAGCAUGAAUGAGCUGAUGUUCAAUACGCUCCACGCUUCCCUAGAUAGUUUUCUAUAUUCAUCACAUUUAACAGUUUAUGCCCCAAAUGAAUCAGCUGAUAUUGUCUAAGGAUGGAACUCUGAUUGAAGGUUCUUCCUCAUCCAUUAUGCUCACAGGGCUCCUCUUGCUAUAAAAUCCCAGAUGUCUAAUUAGCUUGGAACGCUGUCUAAAAGCGUUUUUACAUCCAUUACGUGCAUAUGGUUUUUCUCCAGUGUGAAUUCUCUGACGUUGAAUGAGCUUUGCUUUCCUGAAAGCCCUCACAUUUAUAGCAUUUGUAGAGUCUCUGUUGCAUGCGGAUUAGCUUAUGCAUGUGAUGCUGGGAUGCUGAUGGCUGCCUCCCACAAAACAGGGAUUCUCUCCAAGGUGAAUAUGGUGCUGUUUAGUAGGAUGGGGACCCCAAGGAGAGUUGCAUAUAUUUGUAACAGACAAAGACAGUCUCUCCAAUAUGUAUAUUGGAAUACUAAAUACAUUCUUAAUUCUGUCCCAAGAUGUAGCCACACCUAUCUUAUCUUGGGAUUUUCUUCUAAAAAAUGUAGAUAGGAUUGCAAAUUUUUCCUAGAUUCAUCAUAUCCAUGGCAUGGGGUCCUUACUGUUUUACUAGGAUGUCUUCAUAUUCCCAGUCCUCUCCAAACUCAGGGAUCUAGUCAUGGUGCCAGAGGCACCUCAUUGGAUCCAGGAAGGUCCUGCCCGGGGUCAACUCGUUCUUGGUCCCAGUGACACAAUUUGAAAUUACAGGAAAUGUGAAUAUUGGCCAUUUUUUCUAAAAGACAAAAUUUCGUAGAGUGAGAAUGAAAGGUUUUGGGAGAAGAAUUAAAGAUAAGAGUGUCUUUAGGCAAAUAUUAAAAAUGGUGUGAUGUGACAGAAGUAACAGCUGGUUCCUUUCCUAAUGGCCCUAAUUUUGGUCACAGAAUGUACCCAAUAAAAAGCCCUCCCCUAGUGACUGUGAGGAGGGAGCAUGUGAGGAGUCGAAAGGAAGUUGUUCCCACUUUGUUUUUUGAUCUGGGCACUACUCAUAUUGGGUGUGUUCAUUUUGUGAAAUACAUAAGUGGUAUGCUGCAUUUAUGCACUUUAUACAAUGUAAGGUUUUUUUAAAAAUCACUAUCCCAUAUGCCACCUGCACAGCCACAGGACAGUUUCCAAAAAUGAGAUGUAAGCAGAGACUCUUAAGCAGAAACAGGAACUUUUGGCCUUUUUCCUGUCCCCUUCAUCCUGCCGGGCCUGGAUCCAUAGUAGUGCAGCAGCCGUCCCAUGAGCAAAAAUGGCCCAGUGAGUCCAAGGUGUCUGGGCCCGGUGACCUUGAACGUCUCACCUCUGUAAUUUUUACUUUUUUAGUCUAGUAGGUGAGAAAGGAUUUUCAUUAAUUGUGAGUAAGGUUAAGCAUCUUUUCCUCUAAUGCCUCUCAUGGAUUAUUUUGUCUUCACCUCCUUUUCCAAAGCUCAACAGAGACAUUAGCCUUGUGAGUGUCACACCGCUGGAGGUGUUCUUCCACAUUUGUCAUUUGUCUUUUGGAUUUGCAAGUGUGUGUUUAAGCCAAACAGAGGCUACUGUGUUUUUUUUUUUUCCUGUGGCUUCUAAAUUUUAUGUUAUGUUUAUUCCAUCCAGAAUUGUUAAAAUGCUAAAUCUUCUUGACAGUACUUUUAUGGUUUCAUUUUUUUAUGUUUAUAUCUUGGAUCCACACGGAGUUUGAUAUAAUGUAAGGAAUGAGGAAGAGAUCCUACUGCCCCACCACCUCCUAAAACAGCCCAGGGAACGUCAUCUUCCAGCUGUUUUGAAAUGUCACCUUUAUCCUACAAUAAAUUACCUUUUGAACUUGGGUCUUUUUUGAAUCUCUACUUCAUUUAUGUCUGUACCUUCUCUAGUAUGUAAUUAUUCCCCUUAUCAUUUG